RNAcentral lists this transfer RNA (67 nucleotides) under Crassadoma gigantea. RNAcentral describes it as "tRNA-Leu". Lineage: Eukaryota; Metazoa; Mollusca; Bivalvia; Pectinida; Pectinidae. The record is from RNAcentral.
GGCGGGUUGGCAGAUCAUGUGGUCGACUUAGGAUCGAAGGAGGGGGUUUCUAAUACCUCACCCGCUU